CUUCUAACGUCUUGGUGCCAGACACCACAUCACACUUUCAGAGUCUUCUGGAGUCCAUGCCUUGACGGGUCAGAGCUGUUUCGGUGGCACAAGCAGGACCUACACAAUAUUAGGCAGGUGGUUUUAAUGUUAUGGCUGAUUGGUGUAUAUGACAGAGCUUAUUGUCUGUGCAAUGCCUUUAUUGCACAUAACCGCACUCAACAUUCAUCCCCUAGUUUAAAACUAAUGACUUCUAUAUGAAAUUUUAUCUGUAACCAUUUCUAGUAGCAUCAUAUCUGUGAUAAUAUGGACUACAUUUAUAAGAAUUAUGUUUACAUAAUAUGUCUUCAAAGACAAUAAACUGAGACUCUGUUAGCUAGCUAAUAUUACAUAACUAACUAAACUUCUGGUCAUAUUGCCUUAAUAUUGACAGUGUAGGGUCCUUCUUAAGGGCUUGAUAGUGGGUCAGUACCAGUCCUGAAUUUGAACUUACAACCUUCUGAUCACUGGGAGCUGUGAGGACUUUAAACACCCCCCUCCCUAUUUUUUUUUUUAAUAAGAGCAUCAGUGUGCUGUAUAUUCAAAAAGCACUUGUCCUACCAUCAUUAUGAACCCUGUGGUGCACUUUACAUUGUAAAUAUUUACAACAUUAAAACCUAAUACUGAAAAAAAAAAAUCGUCUACACCAAGUGCUUGACAUGCAGCUAGUGUGUACUUCAAAAUACUGCAGCGACACACAGCCACUGUUAAGUCUGGUUUAAAUAAGUGUGACAGGACAAACAGCACUUCCUAACAGGCCUUACGAAUUAGCAUAGGCACACGGCCACAAUCUUUUUAUGUCCUGGUUACAGCAGGGACUCCAGCUGGCAUUGAAAACAGGAUUGGAGAAAGAAACUGCUGCGUCUGGAAAGUGCAUCUGUUCCAUGGGCAUUUCUCUCAAAGCUUCACGGGUACUAAAGCCUCUCGCAGCCCUAAGCAACGUUCUGUCAAAUACAUCCGCUAGCAUCAUAUAAAUCUAUUUUCCUGUACAGAGCAUUUCCACAUCCCUCCUUCAUCACAGUCUGCUGCGAGUAAACCACAUACUGUAGCACAAUCGUCAGCUUGUUAGUUAGCUAGCUAAACUGCAGAAUAGGAUACUGAAUAUGUACGAUGAUCACUAACUCUUUAGUAUAUUGUGAGGUUUACUAGACAACAGUCUAAACUUAUCUAGCUAGCCAAUUCCUAUCUAUUUAGCUAGCAGGUCAUCAACCCAGAAUACUGUCGCAUCUUAAAUUCUUCAAUUUAUGCCACUGGGAAUCGAACAAAUUCCACACAGCCAGUUUAUUCGACUUUAGUUUGCACUCAGCCAAAAAUAAAGUGAGAGAAGGAGAUAUUAUUGUUAUCUAACAAAUACAUCAGCACUCUGGCAUAAAGUUCAUUUGCCACAAAAAUUUGACUUACAAUGAACCAAUAUCGCCAAUGCUAGAGGCAGCGUACAGGCUUAUCUAACAUUAACUAACUAUGACAGAUCAUAUCAGUGAGCAUGCCUUUGAAUCCAUACUGUAUAAUGUAUUUUGAUAUUGUAGUGUAGAUUUGUUUGCACUCAAAGUUUGUUUGUUUUUUUAAUAUUGGUCACGUUAUCCAAUAUUAGUCACGCCAACCAUCAGCAGUGAAGGUUAUGGACAUUUAUACAGAUAUUAUUUUAAAAUCCUGUCAGGUUAGCUGAUGUUAGAUAUAUACGUAACUAUUGUUAGCAGUGAAGAUCAUGAACAUUUAUGAAUAGGACUUAAAUAUCCUGUCGGAAAUCCUGAAAUAUUAGCUUGCUAGCUAGCAAGCUAGCAGGCUAGCGCUAGAAGUGAAGAUCCUUACAAAUCUUAAAAAUCCUGUCAGGUUAGCUCAUAUUAGUCAUAUAGCUGUUGUCAGUUCUUGUUAGUUAUAUAGCUAUUGUUAGUAGCUAGGUAACAUGAAUAUGUCUGAACAGCUAAGUAGGUUCUGCUAAUGUCCGAUGAGUACCAAGUAAUUUGGAGAGCUGAUGUUGGAUGGAUAAAAUAUUAGCUUUGAUUUGUCCAGACCAACAACUCAUGGUCAAGAACAUGCAGACUGAAUAAAUGUGCAGAAGUUCCAUUGUUUCACAAUAACAGGAAGUGGACUCUUAAUGUUAUGGAAUCAAACAGUGCUGCAUGUUGACUAGCAAGUUAAUGUUAGCGUUCCCACUCCAUUUUGGUAGCUAACAGCAACUAGCAAGCAGAUUAAGUGUUUUCAUGUUUCAGGAACAAUCCAUGUAACUUUUAUGAAGAUUUCUACCGUGGUUAUGAGAGACGACACGUAGCUGUAUUGUUGUUGUCUCACUAUCAAGUCACUUUUUCUUUACUCUGCACCUGAUGGCACUGCUGAGAUGCUAGCUCUAACACUAGCUCUGUACAGAUAAUGGGGGGGAAAACUACAAUGACACCGUCACACACAGACUUCACAGUUUUGAUUCAUGAGAAGUCGAUCAGUCACGCUUUAGAAAUUUAUCAGGCCUUUUACACACUUUUCUAACUAAUAAAUAACAAUUCAUGACUUCAUUAUGGGCAAAUUUGCAUUAUAUCAAAUAAAGGAAGGAAUGCCACUGGGCUAAGUAUAAUUUUCUAGAAUUCGCUCAUGCUGAUUUUGCCAG
Long non-coding RNA from Ictalurus punctatus (channel catfish), 2617 nucleotides. Lineage: Eukaryota; Metazoa; Chordata; Actinopteri; Siluriformes; Ictaluridae. The record is from Ensembl.